AAUGAUUUUGACAUUCCUGCCUCAUAAGAUCAAAAAAAAAAAGUCUAUUUGUAUCAACAAAAUGCGCUUGCAGUUCAGAUUUGCUCCUUUCCUGAAUUUUCUGGAAGCCUCAAAUGGACCCCGAGCCACACGUUGGACACUCCUGAUCCAAAUAUUUCCCCGUUCUCAGUCAUUCUGCUGGCAUGUUCUCACUUCCUCCCUGUGGUCUGCCUGUGUCCUCCAAAACCGCCUUUUCAAGAAGAAUGCUCUGUUCUUCUUUCUGCUCAGUCACGUGAAAUGUAACGUUAAGAACUCAGAGAGGUUUGAGUCGUGCGUUUCUCUAGCUGCAUGGUUGACUGGUGGUGGGAUAAAGUCAGACAUGUGACAGAGAGUAAGUGGAGCUGCUUUCACUGAGGACUACUGUUGGUGUCAGUGUGACAAUAAGAGCGAGCUCUGUGCUGCCGACAUACAGACAAUAACAGGUCAGAAGACAUGGGCAGGUUCUCAAGGGUAAAGUUGAGUAAUUUCAAAUAUGAAUCUCAUUAGUUCAUUAUAAUCAAGUCUUGUACAUGAAAAAAGCAAAGAAUUAAAUUUCUAUGGAAUUUUGAGGUGUUUUGUUUGACAAUUUGUUUUAAAUUCAUUGUGAUCGUUACUUAAUACUGUCAGUAACAAUCUGACGGUAUUAACACUAACAUGGGGUUAUAUGAAAAUGAGCUAUAAUGUUAGUUUUAAUGCUACUUUCAGUGUUUGGGUUGUCACAUUGACACUACACAAACAUGGAGUCUUCGUUCUCAUACACUAGGUUUCUUAAAAACCUAAAUGCCUGAAACAAAGUAUUUUUUUGAAUACAUUAUUAUUAUAACAAAAGACUGGUUUUUCCAUCAUUUGUAUUACAGUCUACUUGCGUAAGAAUAAUAAAAAUUUCUGCAGUAAUUCUUGCCCCAUCUGCUUUACAUUUUCCAAAGACAAAAAAAUACACAAUGGUAGCAAAAAGGCUUUUCCCCCCUCCUUUAUUUCAAAACUUCUGAACAAAAAUAUAAAUUUUAUACAAUUAUCCAGAAAAAGAUUGCAUUUAAAUAUAUAUAUAUAAAAUUACACCUGGAAGCUGACAGCAGGCAGCAGCUUUAAACUAAGGCAAUAAUCAAUAUAAAAUAUUUUAUUUUUGAGUUCAGUUUCUGUUUAUAACAGCCCUGGUUUCCUUAAGCACAUAAUCACCAGAUCUCUACAAGCCUGCUUGCAGCGUGAAUACAGAGGCUCAUUAUAUUCUU
Poecilia latipinna (sailfin molly) is the source of this 1247-nucleotide long non-coding RNA. RefSeq lists it as uncharacterized. The transcript has 2 exons. Lineage: Eukaryota; Metazoa; Chordata; Actinopteri; Cyprinodontiformes; Poeciliidae. The record is from RefSeq and is a predicted model, not a curated record.